This 253-nucleotide ribosomal RNA is filed under the name uncultured bacterium. RNAcentral's name for it is "partial 16S ribosomal RNA". It matches the Rfam family "Bacterial small subunit ribosomal RNA", at positions 524 to 776 of the family's 1533-position model. The record is from RNAcentral.
UACAGAGGGUGCAAGCGUUAAUCGGAAUUACUGGGCGUAAAGCGUGCGCAGACGGUUGCGUAAGUCAGAUGUGAAAGCCCCGGGCUCAACCUGGGAAUUGCAUUUGAGACUGCGUAGCUAGGGUGCGGAAGAGGGAAGCGGAAUUUCCGGUAUAGCGGUGAAAUGCGUAGAUAUCGGAAGGAACACCAGUGGCGAAAGCGGCUUCCUGGUCCAGCACCGACGUUCAGGCACGAAAGCGUGGGGAGCAAACAGG